GGGCCCGUAGCUCAGCUUGGUAGAGCGGCGGCCUCCUAAGCCGUAGGUCGCGGGUUCGAAUCCCGCCGGGCCCG
Molecule: transfer RNA, 74 nt
Filed under: Nanoarchaeum equitans Kin4-M
Lineage: Archaea; Nanobdellati; Nanobdellota; Candidatus Nanoarchaeia; Nanoarchaeales; Nanoarchaeaceae
Description: tRNA-Arg (CCT) (tRNA-Arg-CCT-1-1)
Rfam family: tRNA
About the family: Transfer RNA (tRNA) molecules are approximately 80 nucleotides in length. Their secondary structure includes four short double-helical elements and three loops (D, anti-codon, and T loops).
Source: Rfam by way of RNAcentral